AAAAACCCAAGCGCUCAUCUGUUUUUUCCCUUCGCGCUCGUUUUUUCCCCCCUUUAACCAAAAAUUCCCAAUCUCAAAAAUCCCUAAUCUUUCAACCAAAAGCCUAUCAAAAGUCCCCAUCUCUUCAUACGACUCUCUCUCUCUCUCUCUCUCUCGACUGUGAGCAACGGCGGACGACGGCGAGCAUCGAAUCAACAGCGUUGAGCGAUGGCAGCGAGCAGCGUGCGACGGCGUCGAGCGAGCGAGGACGGUGCGGCGAGUCUCUCUUCAACGCUCUCAUCCUCUCGAUCUUCUAAGACCUCACGCACACAGACUCACAAAACAAAAGGCGAAGACAAACUCUCAUCGUCUUUGCGUUCGCCAAUCUUCAGAUAAGGUUCUGUGGAAAUGCACUGGAUUGACACUUGUUUUCCAUUUACUGAUCCAUCAUUUGAACUCAAGAUGUAUUUUCAGGUCGAACAGCAGCUGUGAAGGAGGAGGAGGAGUUCGUAGUCGUCUCGAACAGCAGCUCGUCGAUCAUCAACCGGGUUCACGAACAGGAGCUCCACGAUCGUCGAUCAUCAGAUAUUUCCCGAGUAGGAGUUUGCUUCUUGUGGAAUGCAGGCGUGUGGAGAUUGCGACUAA
Non-coding RNA from Camellia sinensis, 624 nucleotides. NCBI's taxonomy places the organism in Eukaryota, Viridiplantae, Streptophyta, Magnoliopsida, Ericales, Theaceae. The record is from RefSeq and is a predicted model, not a curated record.